This 375-nucleotide ribosomal RNA is filed under the name uncultured bacterium. RNAcentral describes it as "bacterial SSU rRNA". It matches the Rfam family "Bacterial small subunit ribosomal RNA", at positions 524 to 898 of the family's 1533-position model. The record is from RNAcentral.
UACGUAGGUGGCGAGCGUUGUCCGGAUUUACUGGGUGUAAAGGGCGCGUAGGCGGGGCGGCAAGUCUGAUGUGAAAUCCCGCGGCUUAACUGCGGAACUGCAUCAGAAACUGCCGUCCUUGAGUAUCAGAGGGGAAAGCGGAAUUCCUAGUGUAGCGGUGAAAUGCGUAGAUAUAGGAGGAACACCGGUGGCGAAGGCGGCUUUCUGGCUGAAAACUGACGCUGAGGCGCGAAAGCGUGGGGAGCAAACAGGAUUAGAUACCCUGGUAGUCCACGCCGUAAACGAUGGAUACUAGGUGUGGGAGGUAUCGACCCCUUCCGUGCCGUCGUUAACACAAUAAGUAUCCCACCUGGGGAGUACGGCCGCAAGGCUGAA